This 168-nucleotide ribosomal RNA is filed under the name uncultured Ruminococcus sp. RNAcentral describes it as "partial 16S ribosomal RNA". It matches the Rfam family "Bacterial small subunit ribosomal RNA", at positions 338 to 524 of the family's 1533-position model. The record is from RNAcentral. Lineage: Bacteria; Bacillati; Bacillota; Clostridia; Eubacteriales; Oscillospiraceae.
CCUACGGGAGGCAGCAGUGGGGAAUAUUGCACAAUGGGGGAAACCCUGAUGCAGCGACGCCGCGUGAAGGAAGAAGUAUCUCGGUAUGUAAACUUCUAUCAGCAGGGAAGAUAAUGACGGUACCUGACUAAGAAGCCCCGGCUAACUACGUGCCAGCAGCCGCCUAAU